Molecule: unclassified non-coding RNA, 308 nt
Filed under: plant metagenome
Description: partial contains 5.8S ribosomal RNA, internal transcribed spacer 2, and large subunit ribosomal RNA
Rfam family: 5.8S ribosomal RNA (bases 1-105)
Source: RNAcentral
GAAAUGCGAUAAGUAGUGUGAAUUGCAGAAUUCAGUGAAUCAUCGAAUCUUUGAACGCACAUUGCGCCCUUUGGUAUUCCAAAGGGCAUGCCUGUUCGAGCGUCAUUUGUACCCUCAAGCUUUGCUUGGUGUUGGGCGUCUUGUCUCUAGCUUUGCUGGAGACUCGCCUUAAAGUAAUUGGCAGCCGGCCUACUGGUUUCGGAACGCAGCACAAGUCGCACUCUCUAUCAGCAAAGGUCUAGCAUCCAUUAAGCCUUUUUUUCAACUUUUGACCUCGGAUCAGGUAGGGAUACCCGCUGAACUUAAGC